ACGGAAGGCAGCAGUGGGGAAUAUUGCACAAUGGGGGAAACCCUGAUGCAGCGAUGCCGCGUGGAGGAAGAAGGUUUUCGGAUUGUAAACUCCUGUCUUAAAGGACGAUAAUGACGGUACUUUAGGAGGAAGCUCCGGCUAACUACGUGCCAGCAGCCGCGGUAAUACGUAGGGAGCGAGCGUUGUCCGGAAUUACUGGGUGUAAAGGGAGCGUAGGCGGGACUGCAAGUCAGAUGUGAAAUGCCGGGGCUUAACCCCGGAGCUGCAUUUGAAACUGUGGUUCUUGAGUGAAGUAGAGGCAAGCGGAAUUCCUGGUGUAGCGGUGAAAUGCGUAGAUAUUAGGAGGAACAUCAGUGGCGAAGGCGGCUUACUGGGCUUUAACUGACGCUGAGGCUCGAAAGCGUGGGGAGCAAACAGGAUUAGAUACCCUGGUA
RNAcentral lists this ribosomal RNA (434 nucleotides) under uncultured Ruminococcus sp. RNAcentral describes it as "bacterial SSU rRNA". It matches the Rfam family "Bacterial small subunit ribosomal RNA", at positions 341 to 792 of the family's 1533-position model. The record is from RNAcentral. Lineage: Bacteria; Bacillati; Bacillota; Clostridia; Eubacteriales; Oscillospiraceae.